This is a small nuclear RNA of Camelus dromedarius (Arabian camel), 111 nucleotides long. Lineage: Eukaryota; Metazoa; Chordata; Mammalia; Artiodactyla; Camelidae. The record is from Ensembl.
GUGUUCACUUCGGCAGCACGUAUAUUAAAAUUGGAGUGAUACAGAGAAGAUUAGCACGGCCCCCUGCACAAGGAUGACUCGCAAAUUUGUGGGGAAAAAAACCACAAACAU